RNAcentral lists this ribosomal RNA (1155 nucleotides) under Triticum aestivum (bread wheat). RNAcentral describes it as "partial small subunit ribosomal RNA". The record is from RNAcentral. Lineage: Eukaryota; Viridiplantae; Streptophyta; Magnoliopsida; Poales; Poaceae.
GGGGUGCAUAGGUUACGUAGCUUUGCGCAACGCCCGACAAAUGGCACGAGGGGGGUAUAUAUCCUCAUUCUCUGGGAUGAUACCUUGGUGGAGAUGUCCAACAUCACCUUUACAACCUAUUGCCUCUCAGCCAUGGUUCGUGUUAGGGAUUCAGCCGCGAGAUUUAAGAUAACAACUGUUUAUGGCCUGACCGACCCCUCGCUUAAAGACGUGUUCUUUGCCGAGCUCAUUAGCCAGAAGCCGCCUGUUGGGGUCGCUUGGAUCGCCUCCAGGGAUUUCAACCAGAUUUAUCGGGCAAGGGAUAAAAAAAGAAACGUUAACACCAGUCGAAUCAACUGGUUCCGUGCAACUCUCAAUAGUUGUGAGCUUAAAGAAAUCCACCUCCAAAAUAGGAGGUUCACCUGGAGCAAGUAGAGACCAAACCCAACCCUGAGCAAGCUUGACUCUUUCUUUUGCAAUGCGGAGUUGGACACCACCUUCAACGACCAUGUGCUCCAUGCACUUUCUUCGUCCCUAUCUAACCAUUGCCCGCUCCUGAUCGCCGAUGAUAAGGGUCCUAGGAGGCCUAAGACUUUCAAAUUUGAGAACUUUUGGAUUUCUAUGCCUGGCUUCAGUGAUGUGGUCCAAAAGGCCUGGGUCGAGCCUAUUGAUCACACCGAGCCACACAUUAUCCUUUUCCACAAGCUAAAGAAAACGGCGAUGCGCCUCUCACAAUGGAGUAGCGGUCUCUUCUCUAAAGCUAAGAUCCAUCUCCAUGCCGCCCUCUUGGUGAUCCUCCUCCUCGACAUUGCUCAGGAGGGAAGGCUGCUCUCCCCUGAGGAGCUCGACCUUCGGGCUAGGCUCAAGAGAAGGGUCAUAAGCCUGCCCAUGCUCGAGAAAGCACGCAAGAAGCAAUGUGCCAGAAUCGCAAACAUCAAAGAAGGUGAUGCCAACACGAAGUUCUUUCACCGUCGGGUUAAUGCGCGAAGGAGGAAAAACCACAUUCACCGUAUCAUAAAUGAUCAAGGGUGGAUGACCGAGCACAACGCUAAGGAAAAAAUAAUUCACGACCAUUUCUCGCAUAUAAUGGAAAGGGAAAGCGCAAGCACAAAGGACUUCAAUUGGGAGGAACUCAACCUGGAGUUGCAUGACCUGCAUGAUGACCCACAAGUAUAG